AUUAUAAACAACGACCUCGCCCGGGUGGGUUGGGUUAACUGAGAAAUGUACUGGCAUGUCUGGACCGCUACAACAAUCGGCGGAAAGAAUCAACCUCAAGUCCUUCUGGCUGUUCCCUAUACAUAUCACAGUCUACCAAUGCAUACAAGUAUGCAGUUUUUACAUCCAUCUGAUGUAACAACAUACCAUUCUGUGCAACUAUUUGGAUCAAAACUCUUAUGCUUGUCAUAUUUGCAGUUGGAGAAAAAGUCUCUUUAUAAUCUACUCCUGCCACUUGAUUGUACCCUUUAGCUACAUACCUUGCUUUGUAUGUCUCAGAACCAUCAGGAUUGUUCUUAAUGGCAUACACCCAUCGACCCCCCACUGCAUUGUUACCCUCAGACCAUCGCUGCAUCCACUUUCUUCAGCCACUUCGAGAAAAGCUCUGAUGUCAUCCAAGCUUUCUUAUUGGCCUCGUAAUGCAUAGGUAACGAUUUCACAUUUUUGAAGCAUUUGGGUUUCAAUGAUUUCCCAAUCAACAAUGCGGGCAAUUUUUCUAACCCACUCAUGUUUGUGCCCAAAAGAAGAGUCACGCGCUCCUUACUUUUUUUUCCGCUGUGGCAAGGUUCACUUUUGAAAGUCAUUGUUUUGUCUGGAGCGCAUUUGAAGAAUAAACCAGUUUCGUCUGCUUUGAAGACGUCAUCAGGACUGUAAUCUUGAACAAUUUCUGGCAGUUUCUGUAUCCAAUGACUGCAAACUUCUUCUGGCACUUGCACACUUUCGCCACAUAGCCUAUUAAACACAAUUCCAUGUCUUUUCUUGAAUUUGUCCAGCCAACCAUUGCUGGCUUUAAAUUCUGAAUGGCCUAACUCUUUGGCAAAUUCUUCUGCUUUUGCUUGCAAAAGCUUCCCGUCAAUAGGAACGUUCUUAUCCCUCGCUUGCACAAACCACUUCAAAAUGCAUUGUUCAAUGAUGGGAUACUCACAUUCCCUCAUCCUCUUCUGAUGGCCACAUGACUUCUCACUGUACAGUUUCAAAAUCUUUUCUUUUUCUUUCAAAAAAGUGGAGAGCGUACUUGUGGGAAUGCCAAAUUGCUUUGCAAUUUUUACUUUCUUCUUGUCGCCCUUUUCGACGGCUCUGAUGACAGUAACUUUUUCCGCGAUUGACAACGUUUUAAGCUUACGCUUACCAGUUGCCAUUUUCGGGACACGUACUGUACGGGAGACUAUGGAGAAGCACACAGACAUGAACACUAUUCAAGACUCCUCCCGACAAGAGACUGACAAAGGUGAAGGGAAAAUGGGUUAAAAACAUCUUUCUUGAGACAAUUUAGAAAUUCCAGACGCCACCCGGUUGGUUAUGACCCAUGGAGCACUGAAGGGAUGCAGAAUAUUCCAGCCACUCCCUUUAGUUUUUGGACAUUUUUGGUCUCAAAAUAGACGUCCUACCCUCAGAGAGUCGCUUAAUCCCUUGUGGAAUGCAUUAAGAUAAGACUUGGCGUCCCUUUUCUUGGUUUUCCGGACCAUGUGUUCUGAAAUGUAGCCUCAGAAUAAUAACCCAAAGGCCAUAGAAAAUUCGACUAACGGAGGUUGGAAGCCGAAAGGUUUUCGAGUUGAGGAGAUCUAAAAUACAUUGGUCUUUUGGGAAUUUGGCCGGGGACUAAAGAGUAAUUCAACAUAGAGGUUUUCGACUUAGGGAAGGUCGACUUAGCGAGGUCCGACUGUAACAGUAUUAACGAAAUUAUA
Long non-coding RNA from Polypterus senegalus (gray bichir), 1724 nucleotides. RefSeq lists it as uncharacterized. The transcript is spliced from 3 exons. Lineage: Eukaryota; Metazoa; Chordata; Cladistia; Polypteriformes; Polypteridae. The record is from RefSeq and is a predicted model, not a curated record.